CCAAUAGCGUAUAUUAAAGUUGUUGCAGUUAAAAAGCUCGUAGUUGAACUUCGGGAUUUACCCAUUGGUCAGGCUUAAUUGUCUGUACUGGUGAGAUAAAUCUCUACCUUCUGAGGAACUUUCAUGUCAUUAAUUUGGUGUGAUUGGAAAUCAGGACUGUUACUUUGAAAAAAUUAGAGUGUUUAAAGCAGGCUAACGUCUGAAUACAUUAGCAUGGAAUAAUGAAAUAGGACGGACUGAUUCUAUUUCGUUGGUUUCUAGGAUCACCGUAAUGAUUAAUAGGGAUAGUUGGGGGCAUUAGUAUUCAAUCGUCAGAGGUGAAAUUCUUGGAUUUAUUGAAGACUAACUACUGCGAAAGCAUUUGCCAAGGAUGUUUUCAUUAAUCAAGAACGAAAGUUAGGGGAUCGAAGACGAUCAGAUACCGUCGUAGUCUUAACCAUAAACUAUGCCGACUAGGGAUCGGACGAAGUUAAUUUUAUAAUGACGCGUUCGGCACCUUACG
Molecule: ribosomal RNA, 502 nt
Filed under: uncultured Glomeromycotina
Lineage: Eukaryota; Fungi; Glomeromycota
Description: partial small subunit ribosomal RNA
Rfam family: Eukaryotic small subunit ribosomal RNA
Source: RNAcentral